AGCGAACGCUGGCGGCAGGCUUAACACAUGCAAGUCGAGCGCCCCGCAAGGGGAGCGGCAGACGGGUGAGUAACACGUGGGAACGUGCCUUUUGGUUCGGAACAACCCAGGGAAACUUGGGCUAAUACCGGAUAAGCCCUUACGGGGAAAGAUUUAUCGCCAAAAGAUCGGCCCGCGUCUGAUUAGCUAGUUGGUGGGGUAAUGGCCCACCAAGGCUACGAUCAGUAGCUGGUCUGAGAGGAUGAUCAGCCACAUUGGGACUGAGACACGGCCCAAACUCCUACGGGAGGCAGCAGUGGGGAAUAUUGGACAAUGGGGGCAACCCUGAUCCAGCCAUGCCGCGUGAGUGAUGAAGGCCUUAGGGUUGUAAAGCACUUUUGGCGGGGACGACGAUGGCGGUACCCGCAGAAUAAGUCACGGCUAACUUCGUGCCAGCCGCCGCAGUAA
This 447-nucleotide ribosomal RNA is filed under the name uncultured bacterium. RNAcentral's name for it is "partial 16S ribosomal RNA". It matches the Rfam family "Bacterial small subunit ribosomal RNA", at positions 29 to 523 of the family's 1533-position model. The record is from RNAcentral.